This 275-nucleotide long non-coding RNA is filed under the name Bos taurus (domestic cattle). RNAcentral describes it as "long non-coding RNA NONBTAT014059". The record is from RNAcentral. Lineage: Eukaryota; Metazoa; Chordata; Mammalia; Artiodactyla; Bovidae.
CUCUGCCUUCUUUUUACCCUUCCCUCUUCUUGUACCAAGUCCUCACUAGAUUCUAGAGCUGUCCUCCAAGGCAGCCUUCUGGGGGUAGAAGGAUAUGAAUUGGGCCGCUGUCAUGAACAAGGAACAGGGACCACCCAUCGCUAAAGCCACUCAGGGCUUAUAUAUACAAUUAUCUUUAAUAGGAAGAAAGUACCAGCCAAGAAGCCGCAGGGCGCACCCAGAGGUAGGCCCAGGCCUGGCACAACUGGAUUGGACCCAUAUGAAAAAGUUCUAGG